CUAUGCUGCUGAAGCACAUCCUGAGAAAGAUCCUGAAAAAAGGAGAUCCUGUUGCCUUGCCACUUGACUCUCCUCUUCUUGCGGGCUGCUUGAAGAACCGCUUCUCUUGCACUGUAUGGAGUUUGAUGCCCCUCCUCAGGUCAGCUCUGGCAGUGCUGUAGAGAGCUCUGUUUCCCGUCCUGAAGGCCGAGUUACAAGCUCUGAUCGGGGUUAGAGGAUUCAGCACUUAAAGCCGUAAUCUUAAGCUCACAAAGCCGUAAAAAGAAAUAGUUUCUAUGUCUCCCCAUUCCUGUUUGCGAGUGUUGCAGUUUGCAGACCAUAACACUCACUGACAUUAAAGGGGACAUAUUAUGCAAAACCCACUUUUUCCUUGCUUUACUAUGUAUAUUUGCAUAUCCGGAGUGCCUCCCAACCCCUUAAGAGUGAUUUAGGACCUCUAUGUCAAUGUUUUGUAAACAGGCGGAGUCAGGAAAUGUGUCUCUAAGAGAGCCAUUUGGAUUUCACCCGCACACUUACGUAACAGUGCGGGUGAUUUGAAUGCUCCCGCCCUCACGCUGGAUAUCUCCUCCCAUAUUACUCCGGCUACCUGAAGGAGGAUCCGCCAUUUUCUCGCUUCACUUGUAUGCGACAGCCUGACCGCAACCAUGUGCAACCUGAAAGCCAAGAACUCCUGCUCUGUCGUCGGAUGCACGGACACUCAUGUUUCCCUACAUCGCCUUCCUACCAAAGAGGAUAUCAGAGCGAAGUGGCUACAUUUUAUUUUUCAGGGAAACAUCCCAGCUUCACUGAGCAAAAGCGUUGUUGUCUGUGCACUUCACACUUCACACCUCACACCGGACUGUUUCAGCAUCCAGGGUCAGUAUCAGGCUGGACUGGCAACGAGAUUGUUCCUAAAAGAUGGAUCAAUACCCACUGUCCGUGUCAACACCACAGAAGAAGAAACUCCAAGCACAUCUGUACAGCAGUCUGUAGUGCAUCAUGUUGCCUUCCAGACAGACCAACCAGUGAAAUGCACGGUUGGCACACAGUUUUCCAUGAGAACUCUCCGACCUCACUUCAGAAGCACAGACUCUACCUGGCUGCCCUGCAUUACAAUGAAAAUACUGACCGACCACAGGCAACAUCUACAGCUGGAGAGCUGCUGUACAGUCAACUUCCCCAAAUCUAAGCAUGGAGAAUGAACUGCAAAGCCUGUGAAAGCAGAGCCAACAUUCCACUACGUUGAUGCACUGUUGGACCUGAUCUUCGAGAAGGUUUUCCAGGACCCUGGCCCAUAUGUGAACGAGGUGCUGAAACUUACAAUCCCUGAAGACCUUUCGGCUCAGUAUGAAAGACCCAACAAGCUGGACGUUAUAGCCAAUUACGUGCCAAGGUUCAAUCAAGGACAGGACUGAACCUAACAUACUGUCCUUCAGCAUCAGGGAACUCUGCACGAAUCCUCAGCACCACACAGGCAGGCAGCACAGCUCUCACUCUUCACCUCAGAAAGCACCAGCACCAGCUUACAAAGCUUCUGUAGGCUAUGUAUCUAUAUUGGCUGGACACAAU
Molecule: long non-coding RNA, 1548 nt
Organism: Acanthopagrus latus (yellowfin seabream)
Lineage: Eukaryota; Metazoa; Chordata; Actinopteri; Spariformes; Sparidae
Exons: 4
Source: RefSeq, a predicted model, not a curated record